GAAUUGAUUAGUCCAUACCGGUCUGAUUAAGGUAUACGAGAAGGAAGGUAUACAUAAAGGUUAAACAAAAAAAGAGGUGAAGAAGAGAAACAUGGCUAGUGAAACUCUAAACGGUUGGAAAUGAUGAUGAAGCAAUGAGUAAGAGAAUGACUCUCCGCAAUCAAGCAGCGUAGGAACUAGGAACAGCUUUGGUUCUCAUGGCCAUGCUC
Molecule: long non-coding RNA, 209 nt
Organism: Arabidopsis thaliana (thale cress)
Lineage: Eukaryota; Viridiplantae; Streptophyta; Magnoliopsida; Brassicales; Brassicaceae
Product: other RNA
Exons: 1
Source: RefSeq